GACGAACGCUGGCGGCGUGCUUAACACAUGCAAGUCGAACGGAAAGGCCCUGCUUUUGUGGGGUGCUCGAGUGGCGAACGGGUGAGUAACACGUGAGUAACCUGCCCUUGACUUUGGGAUAACUUCAGGAAACUGGGGCUAAUACCGGAUAGGAGCUCCUGCUGCAUGGUGGGGGUUGGAAAGUUUCGGCGGUUGGGGAUGGACUCGCGGCUUAUCGGCUUGUUGGUGGGGUAGUGGCUUACCAAGGCUUUGACGGGUAGCCGGCCUGAGAGGGUGACCGGCCACAUUGGGACUGAGAUGCGGCCCAGACUCCAACGGGAGGCAGCAGUGGGGAAUAUUGCACAAUGGGCGGAAGCCUGAUGCAGCAACGCCGCGUGCGGGAUGACGGCCUUCGGGUUGUAAACCGCUUUCGCCUGUGACGAAGCGUGAGUGACGGUAAUGGGUAAAGAAGCACCGGCUAACUACGUG
Molecule: ribosomal RNA, 468 nt
Filed under: uncultured bacterium
Lineage: Bacteria
Description: partial 16S ribosomal RNA
Rfam family: Bacterial small subunit ribosomal RNA
Source: RNAcentral